Molecule: long non-coding RNA, 326 nt
Organism: Phascolarctos cinereus (koala)
Lineage: Eukaryota; Metazoa; Chordata; Mammalia; Diprotodontia; Phascolarctidae
Source: RefSeq, a predicted model, not a curated record
GGGAUCUGGGGCAGCAGUCACACUUCUACCAUGAAAUUCCUGUAUUUUCUCUUCAUUGGUGUCUUUGUCCUGUCCCUGGCAACAUCAGGUUACACUGGAAUCCCAAGGAGACCUCUGUAUUCCUGUAGUGUGUGCCCUCCUGCAACCUGUCGGUCAAAAUCAUUACCCUGCAAAAAGGCAAUUGAUGGUAUCUGUCCUACUGGCAUGCAGUGCUGUGUGACUGGUUCAUCUCACAAAGAGUGCUGAAGAACCCCAUCUCUGCAUGGAGCAUCACCAAGUGCAAGCAGGAAUGUUACUGCCUUGAAUAAAAAAGCACAGACCUCUUC